GGCUGGUCCGAUGGUAGUGGGUUAUCAGAACUUGUUAACAUUAGUGUCACUAAAGUUGGUAUUCAACCACCCACUGCUAAAUUUGACUGACUUUAA
RNAcentral lists this Y RNA (96 nucleotides) under Propithecus coquereli (Coquerel's sifaka). RNAcentral describes it as "Y RNA (ENSPCOG00000005494.1)". It matches the Rfam family "Y RNA". Rfam says of the family: Y RNAs are components of the Ro ribonucleoprotein particle (Ro RNP), in association with Ro60 and La proteins. The Y RNAs and Ro60 and La proteins are well conserved, but the function of the Ro RNP is not known. Lineage: Eukaryota; Metazoa; Chordata; Mammalia; Primates; Indriidae. The record is from Rfam by way of RNAcentral.